AGAGUUGUAUCCUGGCUCAGGAUGAACGCUGGCGGUAUGCCUAACACAUGCAAGUCGUACGAGAGUUUUUAACUCAAGUGGCGGACGGGUGAGUAACACGUGAGAAUUUGCCUUUAGGAGGGGGAUAACAGAGUGAAAACGCUGCUAAUACCCCAUAUGCUUUCGAGUGAAAUGGAUUUAUUCGCCUAAAGAGAAGCUCGCGGCUGAUUAGCUUGUUGGUAAGGUAAUGGCUUACCAAGGCGACGAUCAGUAUCUGGUUUGAGAGGACGAUCAGACACACUGGAACUGAGACACGGUCCAGACUCCUACGGGAGGCAGCAGUGGGGAAUUUUCCGCAAUGGGCGAAAGCCUGACGGAGCAAUACCGCGUGAGGGAAGACGGCCUAUGGGUUGUAAACCUCUUUUCUCGGGGAGGAACUCAAUGACGUUACCUGAGGAAUAAGCAUCGGCUAACUCCGUGCCAGCAGCCGCGGUAAGACGGAGGAUGCAAGUGUUAUCCGGAAUCACUGGGCGUAAAGCGUCUGUAGGUGGCUUAACAAGUCAACUGUUAAAUCUUGAAGCUCAACUUCGAAAUCGCAGUCGAAACUGUUAGGCUAGAGUAUAGUAGGGGUAAAGGGAAUUUCCAGUGGAGCGGUGAAAUGCGUAGAGAUUGGAAAGAACAC
This 661-nucleotide ribosomal RNA is filed under the name uncultured bacterium. RNAcentral describes it as "bacterial SSU rRNA". It matches the Rfam family "Bacterial small subunit ribosomal RNA", at positions 8 to 709 of the family's 1533-position model. The record is from RNAcentral.